CUACCCUAGCUGUGUUGGCUUUCUAACCCGCACCACUUAUCGUGGUGGGAGACAGUGUCAGGCGGGCAGUUUGACUGGGGCGGUCGCUCCUAAAAGGUAACGGAGGCGCUCAAAGGUUCCCUCAGAAUGGUUGGAAAUCAUUCAUAGAGUGUAAAGGCAUAAGGGAGCUUGACUGCGAGACCUACAAGUCGAGCAGGGUCGAAAGACGGACUU
This 213-nucleotide ribosomal RNA is filed under the name Staphylococcus aureus. Its description in RNAcentral is "partial 23S ribosomal RNA". It matches the Rfam family "Bacterial large subunit ribosomal RNA", at positions 2200 to 2413 of the family's 2925-position model. The record is from RNAcentral. Lineage: Bacteria; Bacillati; Bacillota; Bacilli; Caryophanales; Staphylococcaceae.